GUGUCAGCCGCCGCGGUAAGACGAGGGGUCCUAGCGUUGUUCGGAAUCAUUGGGCGUAAAGCGUAUGUAGGCGGCUUUUCAAGUCAGAUGUGAAAGCCCACGGCUUAACCGUGGAAAUGCAUUUGAAACUGCUAAGCUUGAGUGCGAAAGAGGAUGGUAGAAUUCCAGGUGUAGUGGUGAAAUACGUAGAUAUCUGGAGGAAUACCGGAGGCGAAGGCGGCCAUCUGGUUCGCUACUGACGCUGAGAUACGAAAGCGUGGGGAUCAAACAGGAUUAGAUACCCUUGUAGUCC
RNAcentral lists this ribosomal RNA (292 nucleotides) under uncultured bacterium. RNAcentral describes it as "partial 16S ribosomal RNA". It matches the Rfam family "Bacterial small subunit ribosomal RNA", at positions 505 to 796 of the family's 1533-position model. The record is from RNAcentral.